CCUACGGGGGGCAGCAGUGGGGAAUAUUGGGCAAUGGGCGCAAGCCUGACCCAGCAACGCCGCGUGAAGGAAGACGGCUCUCGGGUUGUAAACUUCCUUUAAGAGGGAAGAGCAGAAGACGGUACCUCUUGAAUAAGCCACGGCUAACUACGUGCCAGCAGCCGCGGUAAUACGUAGGUGGCAAGCGUUGUCCGGAUUUACUGGGUGUAAAGGGCGUGUUUCCGGGCUGACAAGUCAGAUGUGAAAUUCCGGGGCUCAACCCCGGACCUGCAUUUGAAACUGUUGGUCUUGAGUAACGGAGAGGCAGGCGGAAUGCGUAGUGUAGCGGUGAAAUGCGUAGAUAUUAGGAAGAACACCGGUGGCGAAGGCAGCCUGCUGGACGACAACUGACGGUGAGGCGCGAAAGCGUGGGGAGCGAACAGGAUUAGAUACCCUGGUAGUC
This 442-nucleotide ribosomal RNA is filed under the name uncultured bacterium. RNAcentral describes it as "partial 16S ribosomal RNA". It matches the Rfam family "Bacterial small subunit ribosomal RNA", at positions 338 to 795 of the family's 1533-position model. The record is from RNAcentral.